Molecule: ribosomal RNA, 253 nt
Filed under: uncultured bacterium
Lineage: Bacteria
Description: partial 16S ribosomal RNA
Rfam family: Bacterial small subunit ribosomal RNA
Source: RNAcentral
UACGAGGGGGGCAAGCGUUGUUCGGAAUUAUUGGGCGUAAAGGGCGCGUAGGCGGUGCGGUAAGUCACCUGUGAAAACUCUGGGCUCAACUCAGAGCCUGCAGGCGAAACUGCCGUGCUUGAGUGUGGGAGAGGUGCGUGGAAUUCCCGGUGUAGCGGUGAAAUGCGUAGAUAUCAGGAGGAACACCAAUAGCGAAGGCAGCUCGCUGGGACGUUACUGACACUGAGGCGCGAAAGCGUGGGGAGCGAACAGG